Molecule: microRNA precursor, 186 nt
Organism: Oryza sativa Indica Group (long-grained rice)
Lineage: Eukaryota; Viridiplantae; Streptophyta; Magnoliopsida; Poales; Poaceae
Rfam family: MIR812 microRNA precursor family
Source: Rfam
UAUAAGUGCACUUGUGGUUUUCCGUGUCCAACGUUUAACCAUCCGUUUUAUUUGAAAAAAAAUAUAAUUAGUAUUUUUAUCGUUAUUAGAUAAUAAAACAUAAAUUAUUUUUAAUUUUUUUCAUAAAAUUUUUAAAUAAGACGAACAGUCAAAAAUUAAACACAAAAAUCUAUAACUGCAUUUAUA